GAUGAACGCUGGCGGCGUGCCUAAUACAUGCAAGUCGAGCGAACAGAUGAGGAGCUUGCUCCUCUGACGUUAGCGGCGGACGGGUGAGUAACACGUGGAUAACCUACCUAUAAGACUGGGAUAACUUCGGGAAACCGGAGCUAAUACCGGAUAAUAUAUUGAACCGCAUGGUUCAAUAGUGAAAGACGGUUUUGCUGUCACUUAUAGAUGGAUCCGCGCCGCAUUAGCUAGUUGGUAAGGUAACGGCUUACCAAGGCAACGAUGCGUAGCCGACCUGAGAGGGUGAUCGGCCACACUGGAACUGAGACACGGUCCAGACUCCUACGGGAGGCAGCAGUAGGGAAUCUUCCGCAAUGGGCGAAAGCCUGACGGAGCAACGCCGCGUGAGUGAUGAAGGUCUUCGGAUCGUAAAACUCUGUUAUUAGGCAAGAACAAAUGUGUAAGUAACUAUGCACGUCUUGACGGUACCUAAUCAGAAAGCCACGGCUAACUACGUG
This 497-nucleotide ribosomal RNA is filed under the name uncultured bacterium. RNAcentral's name for it is "partial 16S ribosomal RNA". It matches the Rfam family "Bacterial small subunit ribosomal RNA", at positions 28 to 507 of the family's 1533-position model. The record is from RNAcentral.